ACUGCUAUUUGGGUGAGGAUAAGCCAUGCGAGUUGGAUGGGAUACCUAAAAUUCCCAUAGCAAGCUGCUUAGUAACACAUGAUCAACUUACCCUAUGGAGAAAAAUAACCUCGGGAAACUGAGGAUAAUGUUUCAUAGUUGAAUAGGCUUGGAAAAGUUUUUCAAUGAAAUGAAUAAGGUAAAUGGAUCUUAUUUGCCAUAGGAUAGGAUCGUGGUCGAUUAUGGUAGUUGGUGAGAUAACGGCUCACCAAGCCGAUAAUCGAUAGGGGCCGUGAGAGCGGGAGCCCCAAGAUGGGUACUGAGACAGCGACCCAGGCCUUACGAGGCGCAGCAGGCGCGAGACCUCCGCAAUACACGAAAGUGUGACGGGGUUACCCAAAGUGUUCUCUUAAGAACUGUGGUAGGUGAGUAAUGUCCCCUGCUAGAAAGGAGAGGGCAAGGCUGGUGCCAGCCGCCGCGGUAAAACCAGCUCUUCAAGUGGUCGGGAUAAUUAUUGGGCUUAAAGUGUCCGUAGCCGGUUUAGUAAGUUCCUGGUAAAAUCGGGUAGCUUAACUAUCUGCAUGCUAGGAAUACUGCUAUACUAGAGGGCGGGAGAGGUCUGAGGUACUACAGGGGUAGGGGUGAAAUCUUAUAAUCCUUGUAGGACCACCAGUGGCGAAGGCGUCAGACUGGAACGCGCCUGACGGUGAGGGACGAAAGCCAGGGGAGCGAACCGGAUUAGAUACCCGGGUAGUCCUGGCCGUAAACGAUGCAUACUAGGUGAUGGUACGGCCAUGAGCCGUAUCAGUGCCGUAGGGAAACCGUUAAGUGUGCCGCCUGGGAAGUACGGUCGCAAGGCUAAAACUUAAAGGAAUUGGCGGGGGAGCACCACAAGGGGUGAAGCCUGCGGUUCAAUUGGACACAACGCCGGGAAACUUACCAGGGGAGACAGCAGAAUGAGGGUCAGGUUGACGACCUUACCUGAUGAGCUGAGAGGAGGUGCAUGGCCGUCGCCAGUUCGUGCUGUGAGGUAUCCUGUUAAGUCAGGCAACGAACGAGAUCCGCACCUUUAUUUGCCAACAAGAAGUUACGACUUCGUUGGGAACACUAAAGGGACCGCCGUCGAUAAGACGGAGGAAGGAGCGGGCAAAGGCAGGUCAGUAUGCCCCGAAACCCCUGGGCUACACGCGGGCUGCAAUGGUAUGAACAAUGGGCUGUAACUCCGAAAGGAGAAACCAAUCCCGAAAUCAUAUCACAGUGGAUUGUUGGCUGUAACCCGCCGACAUGAACGUGGAAUCCCUAGUAAUCGUGUGUCAUCAUCGCACGGUGAAUACGUCUCUGCUCCUUGCACACACCGCCCGUCGCUCCAUCCGAGUGUACUAAAAAUGAGGUUUGGUCAGACUGGUCAUAUCGAGUUUCUAGUAUGCGAGGAGGGAGAAGUCGUAACAAGGUA
RNAcentral lists this ribosomal RNA (1432 nucleotides) under metagenome. RNAcentral describes it as "bacterial SSU rRNA". It matches the Rfam family "Archaeal small subunit ribosomal RNA". The record is from RNAcentral.